CAGUUGGAGACCUGUGGACACACAGAGAAAGAAGUCGCUGGAAAAGCUGACCCAGUAAUGAGAUAACGUGAACAUAUGGUGGGCUUUCUCUGAGGUGCCCGUGCUCCCAUGGCCAGGAGGAACAUCUCUGAGUGGCAACACGAAGCGCUGGGGCCAGGCAAGAGGCUGGGACCGAGAAGCCGGUGCUGACUGAAUCGUGGACCCAGGGAAAUGGCCACAGUGGUUGGAGGUCACCCCGAGCCGACCUGUCCUACCAGGUGCUGCUGGGAUGGGGGCGGGAAGGAGCUGGAAGGAAACAGCACGUCUGACAUGUGGAGAGCCGAGCGUCCACUCCCUGCAGGGGCAGGAACAGACUAAAUUCUGGAUUGCUCUUUGGGGAAAGUGAGAGCCAGGGAGCCAUGUGUCCCCAGGGACCCAGUAACCCCACUCCUGGGAAUUCAGUCUAAGGAAACUUCUCAAAGGAUGACACGGACGGAUGAACUGACAGGGCAGCGGGGAGGAGCCAAGCACUGAGCUAAGCGCCUGUCACAUCCUCGGAGCAGCUGGGGACAGCCGCGGUCACAGCCAUCCUACAAGCCAGCAGGCUCGGUGCUCCACCUUAUCUUCUCCAUUGUUAGCCAUGAAAUGAAAAAGCCCCGUGUGCGCUCCUGCCCCUCGCAGUGUCUCCUCCUGCCUGCCCCCGGGUGUGAGGGCGGCCAGAGCAGCACUUGGUUCCCUCUACCUACGAGGAAUGUGCUGGAACGUCUUUGUGGAACUGAGUCUGCAGAGGAAUGGCAGCAAGCAGUUUUCCAUGGUGAACCUCCCAGCUUGCACAUCUGCACCCUAAAUUCAGAGUCCCCCCUCAACUGUCAGCCAUUUCAUGCUAUCCUGAGACCUGGUGGACCCGCCACCAUGGGGAAGGGGCUCCCGGCACAGAAUUCUGCUGCUGGUCGGUGUGUGUGUGUGUGGGUGGGGGGGAGUCUUAGGGCCUGAGCACAGAGGGGAAGUCACUGGAACGUGCCUAGUUUCGUUGGCAACUGACCCUCUCCUCAGAUGAAGUCUAGACCCAACACCCAUCUGCUUUCCAGAGGCGCCAGACCCUGAAACGAAUCGGGCUGUUCCUCAGCUGCACGAGGUGGCAAACAAGCUGCCGCGCCUCACGCUUCUUCGGAGCCUUGAGGCCCCAGAGGUGCGCCCCUUGCUUCAGCGCUGGCCUCGGUGCCGAGGACGCCAGAGCAGUCCAGGGUGAUGGAAGUCAGGGGGACUGCGACACCUGCAAGGUUCUGCUACCAGGGGGCCCCUGGACUUGUCGCAGCUGGACUUGGCCGGGGCUGGGACACAGUUCUGGCUAAGGGCACGGGCUCUGGAGGCAGCCAGACUGGGCUGGAAACUCAGCCCCUUCAAGUGCACAGUGGGUGAUGAUCAGUGACCUAGCAUUAGCGCGGUGAGCCCUGCUGCCAGAGGCUCGGGGGCUGCUGCCCUGGGGGUGCGGCCUGAUCCUGCCUCGUGAGCCGCCUGUACUCACCAUUCCCACUUUAAAACCUUCUGAGAUGUUUCUUGGGUUCUCCCCUCCGCUUCCCCUCCCUUGCUCCCAAUUCCACUGAGGACACUGGAGGUCCAGACUGCAGGGCCUCCCAAGGCUGUCCAGGUCUCAUCUCCAAUCUGUACCCCCACCCACCCUCCACGUGGAGACAGAUGUUGCCCGGUAUUGCACAACCCUGGCCACGCGCUCUGGACCGCUGGAGAAACAAUCAAGCACGCAUGCAUCCGAACUCCCAGUACAGC
Molecule: non-coding RNA, 1764 nt
Organism: Callorhinus ursinus (northern fur seal)
Lineage: Eukaryota; Metazoa; Chordata; Mammalia; Carnivora; Otariidae
Source: RefSeq, a predicted model, not a curated record